This 23-nucleotide non-coding RNA is filed under the name Rattus norvegicus (Norway rat). The record is from RNAcentral. Lineage: Eukaryota; Metazoa; Chordata; Mammalia; Rodentia; Muridae.
CAGAAGUGAAGAAAUGGGAUGAU